Molecule: small nuclear RNA, 345 nt
Filed under: Myotis davidii
Lineage: Eukaryota; Metazoa; Chordata; Mammalia; Chiroptera; Vespertilionidae
Description: 7SK RNA
Rfam family: 7SK RNA
About the family: 7SK was discovered as an abundant small nuclear RNA in the mid-70s but a possible function has only recently been suggested. Two independent studies have found that 7SK RNA binds the CDK9/cyclin T complex (known as elongation factor P-TEFb).
Source: Rfam by way of RNAcentral
GGAUGUGAGGGCGAUCUGGCUGCGACAUCUGUCACCCCAUUGAUCGCCAGGGUUGAUUCGGCUGAUUUGGCUGGCUAGGCGGGUGUCCCGCUCCUCCCUCACUGACCCAUGUGUGUCCCUCCCGAAGCUGCGCGCUUGGUCAAAGAGGACGACCCCGCACCCCAGGAGAGGACCGGUCUUCGGUCGAGGAUAUACGAAUAGCUGCGUUCCUCUGCUAGAACCUCCAAACAAGCUCUCAAAAUAAGGUAUGUGCAGUGUGCAUAGGAGUUUGUUCAUAGGUUUUUUUUUUUUUAAACUAUAGUCCGGCCCUCCAAUGGUCUGAGGGACUGUGAACUGGCUCCCUGU